Long non-coding RNA from Octopus bimaculoides (California two-spot octopus), 2656 nucleotides. RefSeq lists it as uncharacterized. Lineage: Eukaryota; Metazoa; Mollusca; Cephalopoda; Octopoda; Octopodidae. The record is from RefSeq and is a predicted model, not a curated record.
CACUGAGCUACACGUAUCUUCCCGUUUUUCGUCACCAAUUGGAAUUCCCUUCAUUGAUGACAAUCAGCAAACGAUGUUCAAUAAGGAAAUCAUAAAGGCAGAUCUAACUCAUAAUUAAGAAGUUAUAUAAAUCGAUGUAAAUAACUGUUGAUGAUUGAAAUUAAGAAAUAUGUUACAUCAGGUUAGGUUUACCUUAAUGCUACGUAGCCAAUUGCAAUGACUCAUGAUAAUUGAUACUUUUGGUGGGAUAAAAAUAGAAAAAAAAACGUAAAACUUUUUUUUGUUUAGUUAAUCGUUUUGAUAAAUGUCAUUCAUUAAAGAAAAGCGUUGAAACAUAUGAUCACGGUCUUGUGACGAAAUGUCAAAUUGCUUUACUGGUAAUAAAAUUAACUGGAAGUGUAUUUUUUGAAUCCGGCUUGAUCGAUAUGAUACUAAUAGAAAUUAUUGGAAAGGAAAAACAUAUUCCUGGUGAAGAUCAUUCAUUUGUUUCAUUUUGAAAAGAAUAAAUUUAAAAGAAAAAAAAACUUGUAAAUAGAAGAGGAAAUGAUCUCGUUAACACGAAAAGAAACUACCGAAAGUUGACCAUAUUUCUUGAAACUUUCAUACUUUGAAGAAGAAUAGAGAUCACAUUCUCCCUAAUUAUCAUUUGUUCAAUAACGAAUGUUAAUUCUUAAAUAAGAAUAGAGCAAGAAAUAUCUGGAUUAUAGAGCUGAAGAUAAUUAAACACAAUGCUGUGAGUAUUGUCUUGAGGAUAUGAUGAUAAGAAGGCCAGAGGCAGAAAGUCUAGUGAUUAUAGUCAUGGUGGGGCUCAUAGAUAUUUGAAAAAAAAAGUUGAAGGCAUGACUUUGGAGUUCAGAAACAUUUUUUCAAGCUCAGAAUUGCUGAAGCAUGGAAUAAACUAAAUGCAUCAGUUGUUAGCUGUCAAAAUACUACUUCCUUCAAAACUUCCAUUCGCCAACAAUACACCUUUUUAAACAAUUCAUUCACUGUUCGCUUUCUGUACAUUAUUCUAUGUAACUGUUCAUGCAGUUUUGAUUUCCUUUUUCUGAUGAGCUAUAGUGCAACUGAGCACUGUACACAAUAAAUUCAUUAUUAUUCAGUAAAUUGCAUAAAGAACAAUGAUUAUAUAAUUCACUAGGUGUUCAUUUAAAGGGAGAUAACUGUUUUUAACCGUUUAAUGCAUUAUCUCUCAUAGGUGGUGCUGCUGCUGCUGCCGCUGUGAGGACUGAGUAAGGAAUGGAGGGCAAACUGCCAUGCUUAGUAAAAUUAAAAAUGGUUUUCUAAACAUUCAUGGCAGAGAAAGAAGAAUUAUAUAGAAGCAAAUUCUAUUUUGUGUUCUUAUUAACAGAGUUGGGAAGGCAAGGUUGGGGUAUUUGUCAGCUUGAAACUCACUGUGGCUGUGUGGUAAAAAGCUUGCUUCCCAACCACAUAGUUCCAGGUUCAGUCCCUCUGCGUAGCACAUUGGGCAACUAUAGUUCCAAGCUGACCAAAAUGCUUUGCAGCGUUUCUCCCAACCUCACGUUCUGAGUUCAAAUACCACCAAAGUCAAAUUUUACCACAUAAAAGGCACCUGUACUGGGGCUUCAUAAAAAUCACUUGUGCUGUUCAUGUAAAAAGCCCCCAGUACACUCUGUAAAGCAGUUAGCGUUAGGAAGGGCAUCCUAGCCGUAGAAACUAUGCCAAAGCAGACAAUUGGAGCCUGGUGCAGCCGUCCAGCAUACCAGCUCCUGUUAAACCAUUCAUCCCAUACCAGUAUGGAAAACAUGUUAAGUGAAGAUGAUGAGAGUUUUUUUUUUACCAUAGAUAUCAAGCUGCAUAUUUUGGGAUUAGAUUUAGUCAACUAGAACUUGAAUGAUACUUAUUUUGUGAAUUCUAGAACCCAGGAAAGACAAAAUUGAACUCAGCAUAAUUUUCUCUAAUGCUCUGUUGAUUUUAUUUCUAAAAUAUUACAGUGCCAUAGAAUUUCAAAGUAGCCAAACUGCCCUCAAGUCAUAACCCACUGUUUGAAAAACAAGAAGAAAACUUGGAUAGUGUAUUUUUAGAUGCCCCUAUAAAGAUAGGAUUGUCCAGACUUGGGCAUCUUUGUUUAACCCCCUUGUCUGUUCAAAAGAGAUGAUAUAGGGCUGAGAUACUUGGUGCAUUGCUGUACUCAAGAAGACCCAUCCACCACAGCAAAAUUGUUAAUGCCCUCUUCCAGCUGAAGGGGCUUUUGCAUUGCAAGAACCCUGUGUGGUGCUAUGUAAAAAGCACCCAUGCCAGGCCACAUGAGAAGUACCCAACAUACUCUGUAAAGUGGUUGGUGUUAGGAAAGGCAGAUAGCCAUAGAAACCAAGCUGAAUCAGACAGGAACCUGGUGCAAGUUUCCAGCUGGCCAGCUCCCUGUCAAACCGUCCAACCCAUGCCAGCAUGGAAAACAUGCAUUAAAGGAUGAUGUAGGAAAUGGUGUAAGGGAAUUGUUGAUGCUAUUUCUAGCAGGUCAUGCUCUUUCAUUUGAUAUUUAUCUCUUGAUUAUGUAUAUUUUUCAAUUACUUCUGGGUAUGUUAUUAAACAAGAGUUAUUUCAGAGGCCAAUGUAUGUUGUAUUUUAUUGGCAAAUCUCAAGUUAUUGUUUCAUCUGAAAUGUACUAACUGCUAAUAAAAUCAUUUUCUUAUUUUAA